AGCCUACGGGGGGCAGCAGUGGGGAAUAUUGCACAAUGGGGGAAACCCUGAUGCAGCAACGCCGCGUGAGUGAAGAAGUAUUUCGGUAUGUAAAGCUCUAUCAGCAGGGAAGAAGAAAGACGGUACCUGACUAAGAAGCCCCGGCUAACUACGUGCCAGCAGCCGCGGUAAUACGUAGGGGGCAAGCGUUAUCCGGAUUUACUGGGUGUAAAGGGAGCGUAGACGGCUGUGCAAGUCUGAAGUGAAAGCCCGUGGCUCAACCGGAGAAUUGCAUCAGAAACUGUUGAACUUGAG
Molecule: ribosomal RNA, 294 nt
Filed under: uncultured bacterium
Lineage: Bacteria
Description: partial 16S ribosomal RNA
Rfam family: Bacterial small subunit ribosomal RNA
Source: RNAcentral